RNAcentral lists this ribosomal RNA (2928 nucleotides) under Salmonella enterica subsp. enterica serovar Enteritidis. RNAcentral describes it as "bacterial LSU rRNA". It matches the Rfam family "Bacterial large subunit ribosomal RNA". RNAcentral also lists the same sequence under 26 other names. Lineage: Bacteria; Pseudomonadati; Pseudomonadota; Gammaproteobacteria; Enterobacterales; Enterobacteriaceae. The record is from RNAcentral.
GGGUUGUGAGGUUAAGCGACUAAGCGUACACGGUGGAUGCCCUGGCAGUCAGAGGCGAUGAAGGGCGUACUAAUCUGCGAUAAGCGCCGGUAAGGUGAUAUGAACCGUUAUAACCGGCGAUACCCGAAUGGGGAAACCCAGUGUGAUUCGUCACACUAUCAUUAACUGAAUCCAUAGGUUAAUGAGGCGAACCGGGGGAACUGAAACAUCUAAGUACCCCGAGGAAAAGAAAUCAACCGAGAUUCCCCCAGUAGCGGCGAGCGAACGGGGAGGAGCCCAGAGCCUGAAUCAGCAUGUGUGUUAGUGGAAGCGUCUGGAAAGGCGCGCGAUACAGGGUGACAGCCCCGUACACAAAAGCGCAUGUGCUGUGAGCUCGAUGAGUAGGGCGGGACACGUGGUAUCCUGUCUGAAUAUGGGGGGACCAUCCUCCAAGGCUAAAUACUCCUGACUGACCGAUAGUGAACCAGUACCGUGAGGGAAAGGCGAAAAGAACCCCGGCGAGGGGAGUGAAAAAGAACCUGAAACCGUGUACGUACAAGCAGUGGGAGCACAGGUUUACCUGUGUGACUGCGUACCUUUUGUAUAAUGGGUCAGCGACUUAUAUUCUGUAGCAAGGUUAACCGAAUAGGGGAGCCGGAGGGAAACCGAGUCUUAAUUGGGCGUUAAGUUGCAGGGUAUAGACCCGAAACCCGGUGAUCUAGCCAUGGGCAGGUUGAAGGUUGGGUAACACUAACUGGAGGACCGAACCGACUAAUGUUGAAAAAUUAGCGGAUGACCUGUGGCUGGGGGUGAAAGGCCAAUCAAACCGGGAGAUAGCUGGUUCUCCCCGAAAGCUAUUUAGGUAGCGCCUCGUGAAUUCAUCUCCGGGGGUAGAGCACUGUUUCGGCUAGGGGGCCAUCCCGGCUUACCAACCCGAUGCAAACUGCGAAUACCGGAGAAUGUUAUCACGGGAGACACACGGCGGGUGCUAACGUCCGUCGUGAAGAGGGAAACAACCCAGACCGCCAGCUAAGGUCCCAAAGUCAUGGUUAAGUGGGAAACGAUGUGGGAAGGCCCAGACAGCCAGGAUGUUGGCUUAGAAGCAGCCAUCAUUUAAAGAAAGCGUAAUAGCUCACUGGUCGAGUCGGCCUGCGCGGAAGAUGUAACGGGGCUAAACCAUGCACCGAAGCUGCGGCAGCGACGCUUAUGCGUUGUUGGGUAGGGGAGCGUUCUGUAAGCCUGCGAAGGUGGCCUGUGAGGGUUGCUGGAGGUAUCAGAAGUGCGAAUGCUGACAUAAGUAACGAUAAAGCGGGUGAAAAGCCCGCUCGCCGGAAGACCAAGGGUUCCUGUCCAACGUUAAUCGGGGCAGGGUGAGUCGACCCCUAAGGCGAGGCCGAAAGGCGUAGUCGAUGGGAAACGGGUUAAUAUUCCCGUACUUGGUGUUACUGCGAAGGGGGGACGGAGAAGGCUAUGUUGGCCGGGCGACGGUUGUCCCGGUUUAAGCGUGUAGGUGUGUGUUCCAGGUAAAUCCGGUUCACUUUAACACUGAGGCGUGACGACGAGGCACUACGGUGCUGAAGCAACAAAUGCCCUGCUUCCAGGAAAAGCCUCUAAGCAUCAGGUAACAUCAAAUCGUACCCCAAACCGACACAGGUGGUCAGGUAGAGAAUACCAAGGCGCUUGAGAGAACUCGGGUGAAGGAACUAGGCAAAAUGGUGCCGUAACUUCGGGAGAAGGCACGCUGACACGUAGGUGAAGUGAUUUACUCAUGGAGCUGAAGUCAGUCGAAGAUACCAGCUGGCUGCAACUGUUUAUUAAAAACACAGCACUGUGCAAACACGAAAGUGGACGUAUACGGUGUGACGCCUGCCCGGUGCCGGAAGGUUAAUUGAUGGGGUCAGCGCAAGCGAAGCUCCUGAUCGAAGCCCCGGUAAACGGCGGCCGUAACUAUAACGGUCCUAAGGUAGCGAAAUUCCUUGUCGGGUAAGUUCCGACCUGCACGAAUGGCGUAAUGAUGGCCAGGCUGUCUCCACCCGAGACUCAGUGAAAUUGAACUCGCUGUGAAGAUGCAGUGUACCCGCGGCAAGACGGAAAGACCCCGUGAACCUUUACUAUAGCUUGACACUGAACAUUGAGCCUUGAUGUGUAGGAUAGGUGGGAGGCUUUGAAGUGUGGACGCCAGUCUGCAUGGAGCCGACCUUGAAAUACCACCCUUUAAUGUUUGAUGUUCUAACGUGGACCCGUUACCCGGGUUGCGGACAGUGUCUGGUGGGUAGUUUGACUGGGGCGGUCUCCUCCUAAAGAGUAACGGAGGAGCACGAAGGUUGGCUAAUCCUGGUCGGACAUCAGGAGGUUAGUGCAAUGGCAUAAGCCAGCUUGACUGCGAGCGUGACGGCGCGAGCAGGUGCGAAAGCAGGUCAUAGUGAUCCGGUGGUUCUGAAUGGAAGGGCCAUCGCUCAACGGAUAAAAGGUACUCCGGGGAUAACAGGCUGAUACCGCCCAAGAGUUCAUAUCGACGGCGGUGUUUGGCACCUCGAUGUCGGCUCAUCACAUCUGGGGCUGAAGUAGGUCCCAAGGGUAUGGCUGUUCGCCAUUUAAAGUGGUACGCGAGCUGGGUUUAGAACGUCGUGAGACAGUUCGGUCCCUAUCUGCCGUGGGCGCUGGAGAACUGAGGGGGGCUGCUCCUAGUACGAGAGGACCGGAGUGGACGCAUCACUGGUGUUCGGGUUGUCAUGCCAAUGGCACUGCCCGGUAGCUAAAUGCGGAAGAGAUAAGUGCUGAAAGCAUCUAAGCACGAAACUUGCCCCGAGAUGAGUUCUCCCUGAGACUUAAAGUCUCCUGAAGGAACGUUGAAGACGACGACGUUGAUAGGCCGGGUGUGUAAGCGCAGCGAUGCGUUGAGCUAACCGGUACUAAUGAACCGUGAGGCUUAACCUUACAACGCCGAAG